CUGAACUAAACCAGUGCCCUGAGAUGGAAGCAGGAUAUUAUAUAAACCACCACCACAAACAGCAUACCAGGAAAACACAACUCAGAUCUUCCUGGCUCUUCCACUAGCUGUGAGACAUGGGGCAAGGCUCCAGAUUCAGCUGGGCCUUUAUUAACCAGCCCUGGAGUUAAAUCAUCAACCCAGAGGUCUGUCCUAGCCCUGGAGCCCAAGGAGACCCCUGAUUAUGCAGCAAGCAGGGCUGAAGUUUCCAUUUAAUUUUUGCAUCACAUCUUUAGCACUAUUGGACAUCCUAGAAACCUCAUUCACAAGAUUUCAAGUUUGAAGUGAUAGUGUUUGCUACCAGAGCCCCUUUUCUGUCAAAGAAAUUAGAAGCAGGAAGGUUGAUGCAUUCCCCCACAGAAAGAAAAGAGGUCUUUUAGAAUAAUGUGAAACUCACACUCUGCAUGGGGACAGUUGGGCUCACAUAUUUUCCCACCGAUAGACAAGAGAUUACCAGAAAAGGGGUGAGGAAUCCAGAGAGAAUGUCUGCAUAAGAAGGAGGGUGGAGAUUUCUUACUGAACUAAAGGCUUCAAGAAUUGGCAAAUACCUGCUCAUCGGAUCUCACUCUGUUACCCAGGCUGGGGUGAAGUGGCACAAUCAUAGUUCACUGCAGCCUUGACCUCCUGGGCUCAAGUGAUCCUCCCGCCUCAGUCUCCCAAAGUGCUGGAAUUACAGGUGUGAGCCACUGCUCCUUGUGAUCUUACUCUUUCUACCAAUAAAAAUUCCAGAUUGUAUUAGUCUGUUCUCACACUGCUAUAAAGAACUACUUGAGAUUGGGUAACUUAUAAAGAAAAUAGGUUUAAUUGACUCAUAGUUCUGCAGGCUCAACAGGAAGUAUGAC
Molecule: long non-coding RNA, 881 nt
Filed under: Homo sapiens (human)
Lineage: Eukaryota; Metazoa; Chordata; Mammalia; Primates; Hominidae
Description: HSALNT0111414
Source: RNAcentral